Non-coding RNA from Danio rerio (zebrafish), 83 nucleotides. The record is from Rfam. NCBI's taxonomy places the organism in Eukaryota, Metazoa, Chordata, Actinopteri, Cypriniformes, Danionidae.
GUCAGGAUGGCCGAGCGGUCUAAGAUGCUGCGUUCAGGUCGCAGUCUCCCCUGGAGGCGUGGGUUCGAAUCCCACUUCUGACA